UACGAAGGGUGCAAACGUUGCUCGGAAUCAUUGGGCGUAAAGCGCACGUAGGCGGCCUUGCAAGUCGGAUGUGAAAUCCCACGGCUCAACCGUGGACGUGCAUCCGAAACUGCUCGGCUCGAGUAUGGAAGAGGGUCGCGGAAUUUCCGGUGUAGAGGUGAAAUUCGUAGAUAUCGGGAGGAACACCAGUGGCGAAGGCGGCGACCUGGGCCAAUACUGACGCUGAGGUGCGAAAGCGUGGGGAGCAAACAGG
This 253-nucleotide ribosomal RNA is filed under the name uncultured bacterium. RNAcentral's name for it is "partial 16S ribosomal RNA". It matches the Rfam family "Bacterial small subunit ribosomal RNA", at positions 524 to 776 of the family's 1533-position model. The record is from RNAcentral.